RNAcentral lists this long non-coding RNA (1262 nucleotides) under Monodelphis domestica (gray short-tailed opossum). Its description in RNAcentral is "lncRNA (ENSMODG00000046597.1)". Lineage: Eukaryota; Metazoa; Chordata; Mammalia; Didelphimorphia; Didelphidae. The record is from RNAcentral.
UAUUUUGAUUUCUUACCUUAUAUCCCUGAUUUUAGUUUUAGGGUCUAAUUUUCAGUGUUGACCAUUGAUCAUGGUGCAGACUGCUAGAGGUUUUAUAUCAAGACUUAACCAGGCACAUUGCCUUCCAUUUGACAUGAUCAUUCCCAUCAGGGAUCCUACCAUCAUAGUUCUGCUGGGGAAAAAUUGUAUCCCUCUAGGCAGUGCUGUAAGUUUAAAUUCUAAGCUUUCAAGAAAAAUUUGCAAACCAGCUUGCCAUUCCUAAAUUUCCCUUUGCCACAUAUCUUUGAAGCUAUUUCUACUUACAGGUUUCUAAUAAUCUAUGGACAUUUUUUAAUCAGAACCUGAAUACUUAUUCUGGCCUUUAGUCAGUAUUUUAAAAUAUUUUUAUUUAGUUUUUUUAUUCUCAACUUUUAUUCUAAACAUCCCAAACAAGAAAGAACAUUUGGUCAAUUUACAUUCUAGGCUUAGUACAACUAAUUUACAUGGAGCUAGGGAACCUCUGGCUUGUAGGGUAUUUAGGGAUGGGUUGAGAAAAAAAACAAAACAAAAGCUUUGAUAUUUCUUUGACCGUAAUUGCAUUUAUGGACAUGGAUUUGUAUUUUAGUUCACCUUGUGUCUUGAGGUUUGCAUACUGGAAGAUGUCAAGACAAGGUAAUAGAUCUGUACAGUAGACUUUGAGAAUUGAUUACAUUAGUCCCAAAGCCUUUAGGGAAAGCACAGAGGGCAAUGGCCACCUCAAAUCCUUAGUGGAUUUAGUUGGGGGGGGGUGUUAAUCUGUACCAACUACUUAAAUUUUCAGGGCAUGGUUAGCUGUUUAUUCAUUUCUCAACCUGGACAGUCACUCUAGGAUUUAUAGCCAGAAGAGAGCUGACCUUUGAGGGAAUUUAAUCCCAGUACUUCAUAUUAUGGAUGAGGAAAUUGAGGCCCCAAGAUGCUAACUGACAUGUGCAGAAUCAUGCAUAUAGAUACUGAGUAACGGAGCCUGGAUUUGAAACGAGAUCAUCUAAUGCCCAAUUGAAUGGCUUUCCCCACCACUAUCAUGGACUAUGAGGACAACCGACAUCAGUCUGCUUUUUUAUUAAAUAUCAGUUCUUAAGGGACUUUGAAUAUCAUUCUGCUGUUCAUGCAUUUUCAAAAGCAACCAAGACUUCAUGUGAUGAUAUUUUGAUUUUGGGGAAAAUUGGUUUUAAGUGAGACAGAGUUAUAUGAAGUAAUGAGCUUCACUCUUUUCCAGAGUUAUCCAAGUCUAGUGGCAAGACAAA